GCGCGAAAACUUUACAAUGCCGGCAACGGCGAUAAGGGGACCUCGCGUGCCAGGUUACAAAUCUGGCUGUCGCGAUGCCUAAAAAGCAUUGCAUAGCAAGGGCCGGGCAAGACCGGUGCCAGCCGCCGCGGUAACACCGGCGGCUCGAGUGGUAACCGUUAUUAUUGGGUCUAAAGGGUCCGUAGCCGGCCGGGUAAGUCUCUUGGGAAAUCCAGCAGCUUAACUGUUGGGCUUUCAGGAGAUACUGCCUGGCUCGAGGCCGGGAGAGGUGAGAGGUACUUCAGGGGUAGGGGUGAAAUCUUGUAAUCCUUGAAGGACCACCAGUGGCGAAGGCGUCUCACCAGAACGGACCUGACGGCAAGGGACGAAAGCUAGGGGCACGAACC
RNAcentral lists this ribosomal RNA (386 nucleotides) under uncultured prokaryote. RNAcentral's name for it is "bacterial SSU rRNA". It matches the Rfam family "Archaeal small subunit ribosomal RNA", at positions 339 to 725 of the family's 1478-position model. The record is from RNAcentral.